This 808-nucleotide long non-coding RNA is filed under the name Mytilus galloprovincialis (Mediterranean mussel). The record is from RNAcentral. Lineage: Eukaryota; Metazoa; Mollusca; Bivalvia; Mytilida; Mytilidae.
GUUGUGUGGUAAUUCUUAGUACAUUUGGGUAAAUUAAUCUUAUCUUUGUGCCGCAUAAGCAUCUCUAUAAUUCAACACAUCCUUGAGCCACGACAUUAUAUAUUUUAUGCAUUGCAUGCGCUUCUCAGUUUUAUCACAAUCCAGACCGGCUAGUAACCGUUGUAUAACUUUACACGUCUGAAGACGAGCAUUUGAGUGAAACAUUUUUGUAUGAUUUUUAUUUCUGGAAAUCAAUCUAAAAUAUACGACAGUCCUUUUCCGAAAGUCGGGCUGGACCUUUACUUUUAUGUGCAAUCGGGAUUUACGCAAAUUUUAACCCGAAUAAUUCAGUCGUAUUAUUCAGCUGAUGUACGAAUGCUAUAUUUCUCGUGUGGGAGAAAAUCGGACAUGGAACGGGCUUGAAUUAUUCGAGUUACUCAAAUUGAAACUCGGGAAUAUAUUUCUAGCUGUUCGGAAUUCGCGGAAACAAAUGAUUUUUUUUCGGCAUUACGGUAUUGAAUCAAUAUGAGACAGGGGUGUAGCUAGGUAUUCUGUCAACUAUGUACACAUGACAUUCGAUAAUUAAAGAGUUUUGACAACUUCACCGGCUUUCAUCUACAGAUAACAUCGUUUAUUAUUUUUUUUUAAUAAAACAAAAAAAAUGUGAAAAAAUUAUGUGUAGGCACGUGCCUAAAGUGCCUAACGGCAGCUACGCCCCUUUGAGAUACCAAUUAUUUCUUUUAACAAAUUCGAAUACCAGUCAGUUUAUAGGACUUCAGUUUGAAAUAGGGGUGGCAAUCCAUUCAUUUUAUCCAAUCAAUUAGGGGAG